RNAcentral lists this ribosomal RNA (425 nucleotides) under uncultured bacterium. RNAcentral describes it as "partial 16S ribosomal RNA". It matches the Rfam family "Bacterial small subunit ribosomal RNA", at positions 354 to 796 of the family's 1533-position model. The record is from RNAcentral.
GUGGGGAAUCUUGCGCAAUGGGCGAAAGCCUGACGCAGCCAUGCCGCGUGAAUGAUGAAGGUCUUAGGAUUGUAAAAUUCUUUCACCGGGGACGAUAAUGACGGUACCCGGAGAAGAAGCUCCGGCUAACUUCGUGCCAGCAGCCGCGGUAAUACGAAGGGGGCUAGCGUUGCUCGGAAUUACUGGGCGUAAAGGGCGCGUAGGCGGACAGCUUAGUCAGAGGUGAAAGCCCAGGGCUCAACCUUGGAAUUGCCUUUGAUACUGGCUGUCUUGAGUGUGGGAGAGGUGGAUGGAACUCCGAGUGUAGAGGUGAAAUUCGUAGAUAUUCGGAAGAACACCAGUGGCGAAGGCGACUCACUGGCCAAAUACUGACGCUGAGGCGCGAAAGCGUGGGGAGCAAACAGGAUUAGAUACCCCUGUAGUCC